Molecule: ribosomal RNA, 95 nt
Filed under: Platycodon grandiflorus (balloon flower)
Lineage: Eukaryota; Viridiplantae; Streptophyta; Magnoliopsida; Asterales; Campanulaceae
Description: partial 26S ribosomal RNA
Rfam family: Eukaryotic large subunit ribosomal RNA
Source: RNAcentral
GCGACUCCAUGUCAGGCGGGACUACCCGCUGAGUUUAAGCAUAUCAAUAAGCCGAGGAAAAGAAACUUACAAGCAUUCCCCUAGUAACGGCGAGU